This 253-nucleotide ribosomal RNA is filed under the name uncultured bacterium. RNAcentral's name for it is "partial 16S ribosomal RNA". It matches the Rfam family "Bacterial small subunit ribosomal RNA", at positions 524 to 776 of the family's 1533-position model. The record is from RNAcentral.
UACAGAGGGUGCGAGCGUUAAUCGGAAUUACUGGGCGUAAAGCGCGCGUAGGCGGUUUGUCGCGUCGGCUGUGAAAACUCGGGGCUCAACUCCGAGCUUGCAGUCGAUACGGGCAGACUAGAGUUCGGCAGGGGAGACUGGAAUUCCUGGUGUAGCGGUGAAAUGCGCAGAUAUCAGGAGGAACACCGGUGGCGAAGGCGGGUCUCUGGGCCGAUACUGACGCUGAGGAGCGAAAGCGUGGGGAGCGAACAGG